This 304-nucleotide ribosomal RNA is filed under the name uncultured bacterium. RNAcentral describes it as "partial 16S ribosomal RNA". It matches the Rfam family "Bacterial small subunit ribosomal RNA", at positions 506 to 807 of the family's 1533-position model. The record is from RNAcentral.
CAGCAGUCGCCACGGUAAUCCGAAGGGUGCAAGCGUUAAUCGGAAUUACUGGGCGUAAAGCGUGCGUAGGCGGUGAGUUAAGUCUGCUGUGAAAUCCCCGGGCUCAACCUGGGAAUGGCAGUGGAUACUGGCUCGCUAGAGUGUGUCAGAGGAUGGUGGAAUUCCCGGUGUAGCGGUGAAAUGCGUAGAGAUCGGGAGGAACAUCAGUGGCGAAGGCGGCCAUCUGGGACAACACUGACGCUGAGGCACGAAAGCGUGGGGAGCAAACAGGAUUAGAUACCCGCGUAGUCCCUGUCUCUUAUAC